Molecule: ribosomal RNA, 301 nt
Filed under: uncultured bacterium
Lineage: Bacteria
Description: partial 16S ribosomal RNA
Rfam family: Bacterial small subunit ribosomal RNA
Source: RNAcentral
CAGCAGCCACGGUAAUACGCAGGGUGCAAGCGUUACUCGGAAUUACUGGGCGUAAAGCGUGCGUAGGUGGUGGUUUAAGUCCGUUGUGAAAGCCCUGGGCUCAACCUGGGAAUUGCAGUGGAUACUGGGUCACUAGAGUGUGGUAGAGGAUAGUGGAAUUUCCGGUGUAGCAGUGAAAUGCGUAGAGAUCGGAAGGAACAUCUGUGGCGAAGGCGACUAUCUGGGCCAACACUGACACUGAGGCACGAAAGCGUGGGGAGCAAACAGGAUUAGAUACCCCCGUAGUCCCUGUCUCUUAUAC